Molecule: ribosomal RNA, 492 nt
Filed under: uncultured bacterium
Lineage: Bacteria
Description: partial 16S ribosomal RNA
Rfam family: Bacterial small subunit ribosomal RNA
Source: RNAcentral
GAUGAACGCUAGCUACAGGCUUAACACAUGCAAGUCGAGGGGAAACGACAUCGAAAGCUUGCUUUUGAUGGGCGUCGACCGGCGCACGGGUGAGUAACGCGUAUCCAACCUGCCCAUCACUUGGGAAUAACCUUGCGAAAGUAAGACUAAUACCCAAUGACAUCCCACGAAGACAUCUGAAUGGGAUUAAAGAUUUAUCGGUGAUGGAUGGGGAUGCGUCUGAUUAGCUUGUUGGCGGGGUAACGGCCCACCAAGGCAACGAUCAGUAGGGGUUCUGAGAGGAAGGUCCCCCACAUUGGAACUGAGACACGGUCCAAACUCCUACGGGAGGCAGCAGUGAGGAAUAUUGGUCAAUGGGCGAGAGCCUGAACCAGCCAAGUAGCGUGCAGGAUGACGGCCCUAUGGGUGGUAAACUGCUUUUAUAAGGGAAUAAAGUGGGUCUCGUGAGACUUUUUGCAUGUACCUUAUGAAUAAGAACCGGCUAAUUCCGUG